This 96-nucleotide transfer RNA is filed under the name Anaerolineales bacterium. RNAcentral's name for it is "tRNA-Sec". It matches the Rfam family "Selenocysteine transfer RNA". The record is from RNAcentral. Lineage: Bacteria; Bacillati; Chloroflexota; Anaerolineae; Anaerolineales.
GGGAGUGGUUGUGUCCCGGUGGGCGCCCUGGUCUUCAACAUCAGUGGCUGGUUGCGCGGAGCAAGCGGCGGUGGGUUCGACUCCCAUCCUCUCCCG